This is a non-coding RNA of Paraburkholderia caribensis, 228 nucleotides long. The record is from Rfam. Lineage: Bacteria; Pseudomonadati; Pseudomonadota; Betaproteobacteria; Burkholderiales; Burkholderiaceae.
UCGCCCACAAUGCCUUUCACGGGAUCAGCACGGAUGCGGCCGGGCAGUAGUGUCUUUGUACACAUCUUCCUGGGCGGUCGGCGGAAAGCGCCGAAGCUCUUCACAGGGGCAUCUCUGCUGGAAUCGUGAUCGGCGUCGAUCGCGCUGAGUAGUCGGUUCCUCCAAUGGUCUCCUCGCGCUAACCCCGUAGCGUGUGGUUUUUAGCGGGCUCCAGGCCCGCUUUUUUUU